This 301-nucleotide ribosomal RNA is filed under the name uncultured bacterium. RNAcentral describes it as "partial 16S ribosomal RNA". It matches the Rfam family "Bacterial small subunit ribosomal RNA", at positions 509 to 807 of the family's 1533-position model. The record is from RNAcentral.
CAGUAGCCGCGGUAACACGUAGGGUGCGAGCGUUAAUCGGAAUUACUGGGCGUAAAGCGUGCGCAGGCGGUGAUGUAAGACAGUUGUGAAAUCCCCGGGCUCAACCUGGGAACUGCAUCUGUGACUGCAUCGCUGGAGUGCGGCAGAGGGGGAUGGAAUUCCGCGUGUAGCAGUGAAAUGCGUAGAUAUGCGGAGGAACACCGAUGGCGAAGGCAAUCCCCUGGGCCUGCACUGACGCUCAUGCACGAAAGCGUGGGGAGCAAACAGGAUUAGAUACCCGGGUAGUCCCUGUCUCUUAUAC